CGCGAGGGUGAGGAAAGUCCGGACUCCGCAGGGCAGGGGACCCGGUUGUCAAAGCCGGGAGCGCGGCGGCAAGCGCCGCGUAUGGAAAGCGUCACAGAGACAGACCGCCCUCCGAUGCCGGCGCCGCAAGGCGCCGCGAAGGGGGGUAAGGGUGAAAGGGCGGUGUAAGAGACCACCGGGACUGCGCGAGAGCGCAUCCGCACGACAAGCCCUCCUCGGAGCAAGAUCAAAUAGGGAACCGACGGGCUGCCCGCCCGGUUCGUGCAAAACCACUCGUCCCGCGGUUGUCGCCGCCGGAUCCGGUAAAGCGCGAUGAGGUUCCGGGUUGAUUGCUGAGAUGAAUGAUCGGACCCGCAAGGGGAACAGAAUCCGGCUUAUUCGCC
Molecule: RNase P RNA, 383 nt
Filed under: bovine gut metagenome
Description: Bacterial RNase P class A
Rfam family: Bacterial RNase P class A
About the family: Ribonuclease P (RNase P) is a ubiquitous endoribonuclease, found in archaea, bacteria and eukarya as well as chloroplasts and mitochondria. Its best characterised activity is the generation of mature 5'-ends of tRNAs by cleaving the 5'-leader elements of precursor-tRNAs. Cellular RNase Ps are ribonucleoproteins.
Source: RNAcentral